This 253-nucleotide ribosomal RNA is filed under the name uncultured bacterium. Its description in RNAcentral is "partial 16S ribosomal RNA". It matches the Rfam family "Bacterial small subunit ribosomal RNA", at positions 524 to 776 of the family's 1533-position model. The record is from RNAcentral.
UACAGAGGUCUCGAGCGUUGUUCGGAUUCAUUGGGCGUAAAGGGCGCGUAGGCGGCGGGGUAAGCCUGGUGUGAAAUCUCGGAGCUCAACUCCGAAAUUGCACUGGAUACUGCUCUGCUAGAGGGCUGGAGAGGAGAUCGGAAUUCACGGUGUAGCAGUGAAAUGCGUAGAUAUCGUGAGGAAGACCAGUGGCGAAGGCGGAUCUCUGGACAGCUCCUGACGCUGAGGCGCGAAGGUCAGGGGAGCAAACGGG